RNAcentral lists this long non-coding RNA (6956 nucleotides) under Human betaherpesvirus 5. Its description in RNAcentral is "RNA4.9". The record is from RNAcentral. Lineage: Duplodnaviria; Heunggongvirae; Peploviricota; Herviviricetes; Herpesvirales; Orthoherpesviridae.
UCCGCCGACAAAACGCCGUACAAGCUACACACCCCAAAAACCUGCACGCCUAUGGGCGCCAAACGUGUGUAUUAUCUCAACGUCACAACACGACACAAACAGCGUAACGUGGUUUCCCGAACACGUACGCGGCACAGACCCCCGACACGUACUCGAAGACCUUACAGUUUACGAGUCAAUAAAACAGGAAAAGAUCCGAACUUUAAAAUUGUGUAUUUUUAUUUUCCCAUCCCCCUCUUUUUACCAAAAAACACAUUUUUCGUCUUGUAAAAAGUAACUUUCGCCCAUUGCCAUGAAACACCGUGAUGGGGAACGGUGUUGUGUAUCGACUGACGUCACUACGGCGAUCAGUAUCGACGUCGUGUAUACAUAACGGUGCCCGGUGUUUUUAUUCGGGGCGUUGUCGCGUCUUGAUGUAAUGUAACCUGAAACCGACGUGCCUAAGAAUGCGGAAGCCAGCGUGUAAUCAUAACGGGGUUUUGGGUACAAUCUGACGACAUCUGGCGGCGAGCGUACACCAUCGAAUGUGGCGAUCGCCGGCUCUACGUCACAAUGACGCAAAAACACACUGUAAAACCCGCGUAGACAGAUUUCCUGGUCAACGAGCGCCAUCUGGUGUCGGCAUAAGAACAGGCAUCAACCCCGUGGCCGGCGAGGCGGUGAGCACUUUUGUUGGUCACGUGACCAUCAGCGCAGGAAGCGAGGCCCGUAGAACCGCCCAAGAGGCGGUGCCAGAUGCCAACGUCAUAAUCACAAGGUGAUUUGUUACGUAACGCGCACACGCACGCGCGUGCGUGCGCGCGCGGUAGAAUACAGCGAUCCCUAGUGAAGCCACACCCAUUACGUGUAGCCAUAUCCGCUUACGUAUACAGCCACACCCCUAGGUACGCCACCUUAUCUACCAGUCACAGAAACGGAUAUACAAUGACCCCUCCCUAGACUCCACCCCUUGUACGGAAAUUUCAGAUAGGUGGAACCCGUUAGGGUUCCACCGUCCUCGGUGUACGUACAGGCUUCUCCGUCUACCGGAAAUAUACACCUGCUGACGUAGACGCUACUCCCGGAUACGCGUCACAAGCUACUGGACCCUAGAGGGGAGUGUCUACAGGGCUACGUGCACGCCCCCUUACUUAGGGUAUCCGCCCCCUUCCUCUGUUUUGGCCUAGUAAACUUAACGCCGCCGCUUCUCACGUGACCCCUGGCAAGGCUACGUCACACUCGCGUGACCACACCCACUCCGGAUAUACGUCAUCCUGUGGAAUUCCGGACAUACGGUGACGUAGCGAGCGUAGCGAGCUACGUCACGUAUGCGUGCAUCACCUCCGACGGAAAUCAUCUCUGAUGACGUAGCGAGCGAAGCGAGCUACGUCAUCAGUCCGUUUUACGUAUACCGGAUGCUAGGCGACGCCCCGUAGGGGCGGAGCCUAGCUUCCACCCCUAGGAUGCAUACCCUAUAUAGCAUUAUUCUUCUAACGAAACGUUCUACGAAAACGGACUGGCGGAACGGGAACCACCGUAACCCCCCCCCCUCACCCCCCCCCUUCUCCUCCGGAACCGGGGGGGGCAAAUUUUUACCAAAUUUGGGCAACCAUGAUUUCCAAUGGGACGGCGUUUCCGUGCGCAUGCGCAGUCGGGGCGAAUUUUCGGUUGUCAGGGCGUUGCCACGCGGAUUAUGGGAUGGGGACUCGAGUGCGCAUGCGCCGGGGAUGCCGCAUGGAAAGCCUAUAUAUAAGGAGGGGUGAACCAGGGGUCCCGGUGCGCAUGCGCGGACCCUGGCCCGCGGGAGGGUCGCCCUGCGCAUGCGCCGGUAAAAUUCCACUGGGUGUGUGUCAUGCGCAUGCGCCAGUGUUUUUCCAUUGGAGGCGGUCAGUGCGCAUGCGUUGGUAAAAUUCCACUGGAUGUGCGCCGUGCGCAUGCGCCGGUGUUUUUCCACUGGGCGGUCGCACCUAGGGAGCGCGAGCCCCGUGCCGGGCAUGGGCCGCGGCGGUGGAAAAUUACCGCUCCGCCCAUAUAGGCGGGGCAUCUGAAAACCUAUAAAACCCGGCGUGCCCGCUGCCCCCCGGCGCAGUCCGCGGCAGGGUUCCGGCCGUGCUGCGGUCCGCACGCUGCGCCCGCUCCCGCCUGNNNNNNNNNNNNNNNNNNNNNNNNNNNNNNNNNNNNNNNNNNNNNNNNNNNNNNNNNNNNNNNNNNNNNNNNNNNNNNNNNNNNNNNNNNNNNNNNNNNNNNNNNNNNNNNNNNNNNNNNNNNNNNNNNNNNNNNNNNNNNNNNNNNNNNNNNNNNNNNNNNNNNNNNNCGACGGCCCGGCCGGGCUGGGACCCCCGCACCGGGGUCCCGGUUCCCGUCCGCGGCCCGGGGGGACCCGAGCGGGGGCUUCCCACCCCCACCCCGCUCCUCCCCGGGCUCCGGCCCGGGAUCCCUCGCUGCUCCCGGCGACCUCCGCCGGCUUCCCGGUCCACCCGCCGCGGAACGGACGGGACCCGGGGUCCGCGCCCUUCCCCUCCCCCCACGGGGGGCUGGGUCGCGGACCCCGGUUCCUAGGCUCGUUCCGCGGUGGGCGACCGGGGAUCCCCCACCCAGCUCCCCUUCCCGGCCCGCCCCGCUGGCUUUUGGGCCUCUCCGGGCUUUUUUUUUCCGGCUGGGGGUCGCGGCGGUCGGCCGACGACCACGGUAGGUGGGCCGGGUGGACGGUGGUGGGGACGGGCGACGCCCCGGCUCGACGGCAGUCGGUCCCGGAAGGUUGGGGGCUGGGGGCCCGGUCAGGAGCUCCGGGAGCGGGGUCGACCGCGACGGCUUCCGGGUCUCGCGGCGGCUCCCUCUCGGCGGCUCCGGUUGGGCUCCCCUCCCCCCUCUCGAGGGUCCGGCCGCCAGUCGUGACCGGGGGUCCCUCGGCCUAGCCGCCGGCUCUCGGUCCGCCUUAUCCUGGGCGUUGGCCGGUCCCGUGACGCUCCCCUCCCCCGCUGCUCCCCAAAAAACUCCGCCCGAACCGUCGCGGCUUGCUGGCCCUGGGCGUGGUCCCCCACUCCCCUCCCCCCAUCGGCCGCCCAGCCGGGGUCGGCGCCUCGGACCCCACCAGGCUGUGGCGUGUGUGCUGGCCGAUGCGGCGGCGAGGUUGGGUGUGGCCGGAAGCGCUCGGGGUCGACGGUGGGCCGCCAUGACACCUCAAUUGCCGUCAGUACGCCCCUCCACAAUCACCGUCCCCACACGAUGGGCCCGGCAGGUCACCCAACGUUGGUUCAGGCCCAGUCGGGGUUUUUCCCCGGCACGAACGCACGUCCCCGUGGGCUCCACGCGUUUUCCACCCUUUCCUGGAGGGGUCCGGAACACCGUGAAUCCACGGGGAGGGUCCCGGCACGGGCCGAGGAGACCACGACCGUCCCACCCGGCGUGUCGACUCGUCCGAGACCCGGGAAGGGAACAGGCCCCACCAUUUUUUUCCCUUCUCCGAUUUGCCGUGGAAAACCCGUGAACCGAUACGGGUGCAGACGGCCGAAAAAAUUCGAGACGACAAUACGACGGCAGGGCGUGAUUUUCUCCCCCAUCCGACAAAACCGUGUCCCUCAAAAUUCCCCACCUUUCUCUGUUCAAAUGGCCCCGAAACUGUAAAACACCGUUUGACCGCACCCCAACCGGCGCCAUCUUGGUGACCUUCUCGACGAUUCUCUCGCUCGUCAUGCCGUUCUGAGCUCCGACAUGGCGGACGAGAGAAAAUGGCGUCGAGAGCCUAGGAGCGUUUUCGCUCCAGGCGGGUAAAAAAAUAGCACGAUAACUUUUCUGUGCUUUUUUUGAGACGUUUUAGAAGAGCUUUUUUUCUGCUCAGAGCGAAAAAAUGAUAGCCCUGAAAAUCUCGACGAGUCUGGCCGAGCGGCGCCAUCUUGGAGGAGGGGCGAGUCGCGGGCACCGCCUCGGUACCCCCUGGCCGAGGCGAGUCCGCGGUCGCCGCCUGUUCCGUGAUGCUACCUAGAGGGCGCUGUCGAGGCGACUCUUCCUGUUUUCGCCCUGAGGGCUAACGGUCGCUGACGUCAAACCAUCUCGUGCUCGCUGAGUCACAUCCGGUUGUUGACAAGCGAUGGAGGACCGCACCCAAAGUGCGUCCUCUAGUCAUCGCGCCUGACCCCUUUUAUAAACUGCUCGAAGAAAAGAACACCUUAUGUGAAAAAAAUACAGAAUGAUGACAAGUUCAUCCAACACAACCGCUCAACAACGCCAUAUCUAUCAGUGUCCAAAAACUAUCUUCUAUCCUUUGAAACUAUAAAUGCUGCCUAUAUACAUAUUUAGUAUCCAAGACUCUUACCACGUAGACGAAAAGAAGUGAUACAAUGAUCUUGACGUGUAUCGUCUAUAUCGUGCUAGAUAUAUUCGGAUAAGACGCGCAAACCAUAGAUUUCUCAUCAGUAUCAUGAAAGACCUAUAGCUCUAUAUACGAACCUAGUCAUUUUAGGACAGCCGCCGGAGAAGCCGACGAGGGAUCGGGCGGGUGCAGCCAGAACCUCACGCCCGAUCCCGCCUCCGGUAGGCGAUUUGCAUCUGUUUGGUAAAAAGCUCAUAAGUCUGUAUGUGACCUAUAUAUAUAUUAUACGCUAUGUACACCGAACUGUCGCUGUUGUAUAAGAAGAAAAAACUCUCCAUAUUUAUAUCGUCUGAAUUUUUGCUUGAUAGACACGUGUUUGGAACUCUGUCCCCCCACGUUUUCACUGUGUAUAACAAAAAUAUGUGUUUCUCAAAAGAUCUUGAGGUGUUUGAAAACGGGGGAAACCUGCGUUUGGGUGCGCUAAGCCCCGGACUGGGACGUAGCCGGCGUCCGGCACCUAUAUUUUUCUAUUUUUUUUUUACAAAAUAUAUGAUGAACCAAGAAUAAAACUCUAGCUCUCGUCUAUUUUUAAUAUGCUCUACUUAGAACCUUUUUAAUGACAGAAUGAACUCCAUGUUAUACGCUCUUUAUAUAGUUUCUCUGCACUAACCUUUAAAACCGUAUCCUUCCCUGUUGUACAAAUCAUCUUUUGAUACACAAUGAUGACCUGAUAUCCCUCCAUAUAUAUGAUCGGAUAUUAUUCCGUUAGACUUGUCCUCCUUUUUUUUCCUCAUCUCCUGUAUCUGGAGAUAUAUGUUGACCACCACCGCCAUGACCACCAAAAAGCUAGCCGUCACGACUAGAAAUGUGUAGGAUUCGGACUUUCCGUUCGAGAAGAAAGAGACCGCGUCUCUGGACGCUCUUUUUGUCGGUCUGAAUCGACCCGGGAUACGUAAGAGAGCGGCCCUACAUCGGGGGGCGCUCGAGACCGACGACGUUCCAUCUGACCAGAAAAAAAAGGCACCCCUCGGUAGCGACCUCUCACCAUCGUUUGCCCGUCCGCCCGUCCUUCGUAGCCAUCAUCAUCAUCUCAGGCUCUAUCGGUACCAUCGUUGUCAUCUGAAAAAAAAAACUGCCUCACCCACCUGCGUAAAAACACCAUCUUUCCGGAGGUGCGGUAAGACGGGCAAAUACGGUCGUGCCGAGGCAAAAAAACGCACCAUCGACACCACACCCUCAUGAGCACCACCUGUCGGUGUUGGUCGUCCCCCAUCGUUCUCUACGAACAUCUCGACGCCCGGGUGACGGACGACGGCAAGACGUCCCGGAGAAGACGGUGUUCUCUCGGGCGGUACGCUCUCUGGAUCUAUAAUAUCUAUAGUAGCUAAACGAGACUGUGAGUACGACGAACCACAUCAUCUUUUUUUUUUAUGUUGCUUCUUUAGAAAAUGACUUAUGUCGACGACACUCGGCAUCAGCCAUCUCGUGAAACACGCUCGCUUUUCGUCUCUCCAAGGAACACUGGGUCCGCUGAAAGGGACCGUGUACCGACCAAAGCAAAAAACACACACGUAGUAACAUGAUCAACCACGUCUGAAUGACACGAAAACACAAUCGUAUAACGCUCUAUUCAUGGAACGAACUUGGAAUAAAAAAACCAUCGCAGGCCAGAGGCUAAGCCGAAACCGUCCGGGGAAGCGGGCGCGAGUUUUCCGACUUAGUCUCUGGUGCUCGUUGAGCCUCUUUUUUUUUUUCUGAUUCUCUGAAGAAUCACCGUCACAGCCCUAUGACGCGAAAUCAAUUGCUAGAACAUAAACGUUCUCAACAGGUAUGAAAUGAACAAACUAGAUGAUGCUAUAACCUUAUAUUGUGUGUAUAUAGAUAGGUGUGAAAUUUGUAGGAUAAAAAGUGUCGUUGUAUGAUGCACAACGAUCGUGAAACUGGAGACUGUAGCUCUCUACCGAAUGCAAAUACACAAAUGACAUCGAUUCCCGUCCCCACAUAAAGAAAUGUGCUUUACUGUGAAAGAAUGAAGAAGAUUCUUGUUCCUCGUACGACGGGGCCCUCGCUCGUCGUGCCUCUUCCCCCCUCCGGGAGAGGGGACGUCAGGGCCCUCCGUCGCACCGGGCCGAAGCCAGUGAAAUGUUUACUACACUGUCAUCAGAAUAUAUGAUGUAUAUUAUUUCCUCCAAACUCCUCACCAUAGCCACCAAUUCGCAUCACUUAAGAAAGUAGUAGCAACCGCGGCGGCGGCGACCGGCCGGUCGUCGUCUCCUCGUCCUCAAAUGUUGUACAUGUGCAGAAAAAUGUGUAAAUACGUGUUAUUUAUCCCAUGCGUCUUGUACAUAGAUAUAUGUUUUUAUAUACGCUAUUUAUACUUUAUAUAUCCUUUUGCAUAACCAUAGACAGUCAAGGAUUUUAAUGAUUUGCUCAUCCGCCUUUGAGCCAUCGCUUAGGAGUUAGUUCCUCUAUGUUCUCGGCCCACCUUUUCGACUACAGUAGCAAACCCUUGUACUACCACCCCGAUAAAAACCACAUCAUCAUCGUCACCACGACCUGGAAACGACACACGUUCCCCCCCAAUCUUGGGCAUGUAUAUAUAUAAAAAGAAUGGGAGGGAGAGGACGUGGGGCUCGAGAAGAAAUAAACGCCAAGCUCGAUUCGAACC